GCCUACGGGAGGCAGCAGUGGGGAAUAUUGCACAAUGGGGGGAACCCUGAUGCAGCGACGCCGCGUGGGUGAAGAAGUCAUUCGUGACGUAAAGCCCUAUCAGCAGGGAAGAAAAUGACGGUACCUGACUAAGAAGCCCCGGCUAACUACGUGCCAGCAGCCGCGGUAAUACGUAGGGGGCAAGCGUUAUCCGGAUUUACUGGGUGUAAAGGGAGCGUAGGUGGCAUGGCAAGCCAGAAGUGAAAACCCGGGGCUUAACCCCGCAGAUUGCUUUUGGAACUGUCAGGCUGGAGUGCAGGCGGGGG
RNAcentral lists this ribosomal RNA (305 nucleotides) under uncultured bacterium. RNAcentral describes it as "bacterial SSU rRNA". It matches the Rfam family "Bacterial small subunit ribosomal RNA", at positions 337 to 658 of the family's 1533-position model. The record is from RNAcentral.